RNAcentral lists this ribosomal RNA (537 nucleotides) under fungal sp. MX449. RNAcentral describes it as "eukaryotic LSU rRNA". The stretch from base 383 to 537 matches the Rfam family "Eukaryotic large subunit ribosomal RNA", at positions 1 to 154 of the family's 3401-position model. Lineage: Eukaryota; Fungi. The record is from RNAcentral.
CGGGGCCGCCCCCGCCACACCACCCUGAAAUCUGUUACUACUGAUAAACUUCUGAAUAAACUAAAACUUUAAACAACGGAUCUCUUGGUUCUGGCUUCUGGGUCUAACGUCGAGAAAUGACGUAAGGAAUGGGAAUUGGAAAAGUGAAUGGAUCAUCUAAUCUUUUAACCCACUUUGUGCCCCUUGGUUUUCCCCGGGGGAUGUCUGGUCGAGCUGCCUUACCACCCUCAAUUUCUGCCCGCAAGUGCCCACCGCCGUCGCUGGGGAUCCGCCUCAAAGACCUCGGGGGUGGCUGCUCCCCCCUCAAACGGAGGAGAACCCACCUCGCUUUGCAUCGGGUGGCAUCUCCCGCCGGACGAACCUUCUGAACUUUUCUCACGGCUGACCUCGGAUCAGGCUUGGAUACCCGAUGAACUUAAGCAUAUCAAUACCCGGAGAAAAAGAAACCAACAGGGAUUGCCUUAAAAAAAACCAAGUGAAGUUGCAACAGCUCAAAUUUGAAAGCUGGCCCUUUUANGGAUUUNAUUGUAAUUUGUC